GGGCCUUUAGCUCAGCUGGUAGAGCGCCACGUUUACACCGUGGAUGUCACGGAGAACCUGCGCGCCCA
Molecule: transfer RNA, 68 nt
Filed under: Curtobacterium sp. MCBD17_030
Lineage: Bacteria; Bacillati; Actinomycetota; Actinomycetes; Micrococcales; Microbacteriaceae
Description: tRNA-Val
Rfam family: tRNA
About the family: Transfer RNA (tRNA) molecules are approximately 80 nucleotides in length. Their secondary structure includes four short double-helical elements and three loops (D, anti-codon, and T loops). Further hydrogen bonds mediate the characteristic L-shaped molecular structure. tRNAs have two regions of fundamental functional importance: the anti-codon, which is responsible for specific mRNA codon recognition, and the 3' end, to which the tRNAs corresponding amino acid is attached (by aminoacyl-tRNA synthetases). tRNAs cope with the degeneracy of the genetic code in two manners: having more than one tRNA (with a specific anti-codon) for a particular amino acid; and 'wobble' base-pairing, i.e. permitting non-standard base-pairing at the 3rd anti-codon position.
Source: RNAcentral